This 435-nucleotide ribosomal RNA is filed under the name uncultured bacterium. Its description in RNAcentral is "partial 16S ribosomal RNA". It matches the Rfam family "Bacterial small subunit ribosomal RNA", at positions 29 to 507 of the family's 1533-position model. The record is from RNAcentral.
AGCGAACGCUGGCGGCAGGCUUAACACAUGCAAGUCGAGCGGGCAUCUUCGGAUGUCAGCGGCAGACGGGUGAGUAACACGUGGGAACGUACCCUUCGGUUCGGAACAACUCUGGGAAACUGGAGCUAAUACCGGAUACGCCCUUAUGGGGAAAGGUUUACUGCCGAAGGAUCGGCCCGCGUCUGAUUAGCUAGUUGGUGGGGUAACGGCCUACCAAGGCGACGAUCAGUAGCUGGUCUGAGAGGAUGAUCAGCCACACUGGGACUGAGACACGGCCCAGACUCCUACGGGAGGCAGCAGUGGGGAAUAUUGGACAAUGGGCGCAAGCCUGAUCCAGCCAUGCCGCGUGAGUGAUGAAGGCCUUAGGGUUGUAAAGCUCUUUUGUCCGAGACGAUAAUGACGGUACCGGAAGAAUAAGCCCCGGCUAACUUCGUG